AUGAACGCUGGCGGCGUGCCUAAUACAUGCAAGUCGAGCGAACAGACGAGGAGCUUGCUCCUCUGACGUUAGCGGCGGACGGGUGAGUAACACGUGGAUAACCUACCUAUAAGACUGGGAUAACUUCGGGAAACCGGAGCUAAUACCGGAUAAUAUAUUGAACCGCAUGGUUCAAUAGUGAAAGACGGUUUUGCUGUCACUUAUAGAUGGAUCCGCGCCGCAUUAGCUAGUUGUUAAGGUAACGGCUUACCAAGGCGACGAUGCGUAGCCGACCUGAGAGGGGGAUCGGCCACACUGGAACUGGGACACGGUCCAGACUCCUACGGGAGGCAGCAGUAGGGAAUCUUCCGCAAUGGGCGAAGGCCUGACGGGGCAACGCCGCGUGGGUGAUGAAGGUCUUCGGAUCGUAAAACUCUGUUAUUAGGGAAGAACAAAUGUGUAAGUAACUAUGCACGUCUUGACGGUACCUAAUCAGAAAGCCACGGCUAACUACG
This 494-nucleotide ribosomal RNA is filed under the name uncultured bacterium. Its description in RNAcentral is "partial 16S ribosomal RNA". It matches the Rfam family "Bacterial small subunit ribosomal RNA", at positions 29 to 505 of the family's 1533-position model. The record is from RNAcentral.